AUUCCAGCUCCAAUAGCGUAUAUUAAAGUUGUUGCAGUUAAAAAGCUCGUAGUUGGAUUUCUGAUUGAGACAUCAGGUCGGGUCCGAGAGGAUCAUGUACUUUGAUUUGUUUUGAUCAUCCUUGGGGAGAGCAAUUCUGGCAUUAAGUUGUCGGGGUUGGGAUCCUCAUCGUUUACUGUGAAAAAAUUAGAGUGUUCAAAGCAGGCCUCGGCCUCUGAAUACAUUAGCAUGGAAUAAUAAGAUAGGACUUUGGUGGUCUAUUUUGUUGGUUUGCACGCCAAAGUAAUGAUUAAUAGGGAUAGUUGGGGGUAUUCGUAUUCAAUUGUCAGAGGUGAAAUUCUUGGAUUUAUGGAAGACGAACUACUGCGAAAGCAUUUACCAAGGAUGUUUUCAUUA
Molecule: ribosomal RNA, 396 nt
Filed under: Stramenopiles sp. MOCH-3
Lineage: Eukaryota
Description: partial small subunit ribosomal RNA
Rfam family: Eukaryotic small subunit ribosomal RNA
Source: RNAcentral